GACGAACGCUGGCGGCGUGCCUAAUACAUGCAAGUCGAGCGCAGGAAAUCGACGGAACCCUUCGGGGGGAAGUCGACGGAAUAAGCGGCGGACGGGUGAGUAACACGUAAAGAACCUGCCCUCAGGUCUGGGAUAACCACGAGAAAUCGGGGCUAAUACCGGAUGGGUCAUCGGACCGCAUGGUCCGAGGAUGAAAGGCGCUUCGGCGUCGCCUGGGGAUGGCUUUGCGGUGCAUUAGCUAGUUGGUGGGGUAAUGGCCCACCAAGGCGACGAGGCAUAGCCGACCUGAGAGGGUGAUCGGCCACACUGGGAUUGAGACACGGCCCAGACUCCUACGGGAGGCAGCAGUAGGGAAUCUUCCACAAUGGACGAAAGUCUGAUGGAGCAACGCCGCGUGAACGAUGAAGGCCUUCGGGUCGUAAAGUUCUGUUGUAAGGGAAGAACAAGUGCCGCAGGCAAUGGCGGCACCUUGACGGUACCUUGCGAGAAAGCCACGGCUAACUACGUGCCAGCCGCCGCCGUAA
RNAcentral lists this ribosomal RNA (524 nucleotides) under uncultured bacterium. RNAcentral describes it as "partial 16S ribosomal RNA". It matches the Rfam family "Bacterial small subunit ribosomal RNA", at positions 28 to 523 of the family's 1533-position model. The record is from RNAcentral.